This 477-nucleotide ribosomal RNA is filed under the name uncultured bacterium. RNAcentral describes it as "bacterial SSU rRNA". It matches the Rfam family "Bacterial small subunit ribosomal RNA", at positions 791 to 1259 of the family's 1533-position model. The record is from RNAcentral.
UAGUCCACGCCGUAAACGAUGUGCACUAGAUUGGUGGAGAUCUGACUCUUUGCCAGUCGCAGAGAAAUCAUUAAGUGCACCGCCUGGGGAGUACGGUCGCAAGGCUAAAACUCAAAGGAAUUGACGGGGGCUCACACAAGCGGUGGAGCAUGUUGCUUAAUUCGAAGCAACGCGAAGAACCUUACCUGGGCUUGACAUGCACGGAUUAGCUUUUGGAAACAAGAGUGACGCCUUCGGGUGGAACGUGCACAGGUGCUGCAUGGCUGUCGUCAGCUCGUGCUGUGAAGUGUCGGGUUAAGUCCCUUAACGAGCGCAACCCUUGUCGCUAGUUGCCAGCGCGUAAUGGCGGGGACUCUAGCGAGACUGCCGGUGUCAAACCGGGAGGAAGGUGGGGGAUGACGUCAAGUCCUCAUGGCCCUUAUGUCCAGGGGUGGCAAACGUGCUACAAUGGCGUGUACAGAGCGAUGCGAUACCGGC